Molecule: long non-coding RNA, 1319 nt
Organism: Prunus persica (peach)
Lineage: Eukaryota; Viridiplantae; Streptophyta; Magnoliopsida; Rosales; Rosaceae
Exons: 2
Source: RefSeq, a predicted model, not a curated record
UCGCAGGGUAGGUGUUUGAUAAAAUGUAUUUGGUUUUGUUCUACGUAUUCGAAUGACAUGGUGGAGUUUUUUUUUUCGUCACUCUUUUGCAGAGAAUACUUUGAAGAGAAAACAGAGAGAUGUUGCAACAAGUGUCAUAUUUGUUUCUUUGGUCGUUCAUUUUAUGAAAUGGUGGGUUUUGUUAUUCUUUCAUCACGAAUUUUGUGUAUUUGUUAUUAUGUUAUAUUUCUUUACUGUGCGUUGUUUGGUUCUCUUCUCAGGUUAUAUAAAGAAGCAAUCUGUUUAUGUUUGCUGCAAUGAUUGCAUUUUUGUAAGAAUGAAAAAUAGUUUAAUCCAUAUACAUUACUGCAUUCAGGAAAUGCAAUCUUCUUUUUGUGUAUUGUUGUCUCUUCAUAUAUAAUUUAAACUUGCCAUAACUUAUAGAUUGUGUUAAACUGAUGACAAUGAUUACUAUUGCUAUAUUUCUACUAUUAUUAUAUAUAUAUAUAUAAACCCCUGCUCACUUGGUUAUGUGGAGCAGUUGGUAGGUGAGAACAUCUCUUUUGGCCAUGAUUGUGAUAUGAAACCCAACCCAAGUCAGGAAGGUGAAUGGGGUGAAAGGGUUCUAAGACGAGGAGGACCGCAUGUAUACAGAUGCUAUGAUUUUUUUCCUUCUAUUUUUUUUUUCCCUCCUGGGAUUCCUUUGGUAGAGGAAAGCAAAAUGAGGAUGAUAGAGAUGAAGGGAGUUCAAGGAGAGGAAAACUACUAAAGGACUUACUGGCCGUGGCUGUGUUUCUUCUCUUUUUAGAGGUUUUCAAGGGGGGUUCAACUUCCCAAAGUGCAGGAGGCUUGCAGAGGAAUUGGUGAGCUGCUUUCAACAAAACCGAUUACAUUAAAUAAUUGUUUAUUCUAUGUUUUCAUUACACCACUAAAGUGAUAUAUCAUCUGUUUGGAUGCUUAAUCGGGCUUUAGUUAGUUAGUUAGUUAGUUAGUUAUUUUUUUUGUUUCAUGGUUUUAUUCCUUCUGAAUACAGAAUCAUAUGUUUGGGUUUGGGUUACAAGAUAUACUUCAAGUUUUCUUUUGCUACUGGCUUCAUGAAUUAUCGAACCCACGAUAAUUGUAGUGCAGGAGUUAUUGUUCUCUCAUCUCAUCGUUGCUGUAGGUAGAUCGGUUGCACGUGUGGGUCUUCAACUUCUCGAGGUUUAUCAGCCUUGAAAUUUAGUUAUAUUCAUAAAAAAUUAUGUGUUGUAUUAAAUAUUUGUUUCCUAACAACAAUGAGAUCAAAGAAUUUGAUUGACUAUAACAGUUGAAAUGAUCAUUUGUUCUUCUUUGCUGAGAAA